RNAcentral lists this ribosomal RNA (460 nucleotides) under uncultured bacterium. RNAcentral's name for it is "partial 16S ribosomal RNA". It matches the Rfam family "Bacterial small subunit ribosomal RNA", at positions 338 to 795 of the family's 1533-position model. The record is from RNAcentral.
CCUACGGGAGGCUGCAGUGAGGAAUAUUGGUCAAUGGACGAGAGUCUGAACCAGCCAAGUAGCGUGAAGGAUGACUGCCCUAUGGGUUGUAAACUUCUUUUAUAUGGGAAUAAAACGUUCCACGUGUGGGAUUUUGUAUGUACCAUAUGAAUAAGGAUCGGCUAACUCCGUGCCAGCAGCCGCGGUAAUACGGAGGAGCCGAGCGUUAUCCGGAUUUAUUGGGUUUAAAGGGAGCGUAGGUGGAUUGUUAAGUCAGUUGUGAAAGUUUGCGGCUCAACCGUAAAAUUGCAGUUGAAACUGGCAGUCUUGAGUACAGUAGAGGUGGGCGGAAUUCGUGGUGUAGCGGUGAAAUGCUUAGAUAUCACGAAGAACCCCGAUUGCGAAGGCAGUUCACUGGACUGCAACUGACACUGAGGCUCGAAAGUGUGGGUAUCAAACAGGAUUAGAUACCCUGGUAGUC